AUGGUGGCCAAGGCGAAGAUGAGCGCCAUGGAGUUGGAGAUGGCGAAGGUGAUGAGCGACGGGGAGGUGGUGCUCGGCGGCGCCGGGGACGAGGAGGAGGACGACGUGGUGCUGCCGGGGUACCGGUUCCACCCCACCGACGAGGAGCUGGUCACCUUCUACCUCCGCCGCAAGGUGGCCAGGAAGUCGCUCCGCAUCGAGGUCAUCCGGGAGAUGGACAUCUACAAGCACGACCCAUGGGAUCUCCCCAAGGCGAGCACGGUUGGUGGGGAGAAAGAGUGGUACUUCUUCUGCCUCAGGGGGAGGAAGUACCGGAACAGCAUCCGGCCCAACAGGGUGACCGGCUCUGGCUUCUGGAAGGCCACCGGCAUCGACCGGCCAAUCUACUCCGCUGCCUCCGGCGGUGCCUCGGGUUCCAGCGUGUCCAUCGGGCUGAAGAAGUCGCUCGUCUACUACCGUGGCAGUGCCGGCAAGGGCACCAAGACCGACUGGAUGAUGCAUGAGUUCCGCCUCCCGCCGGUCGCCGCCGCCGCGGCCACCAACUCCUCCCCGAGCAUGCAGGAAGCCGAGGUGUGGACCAUCUGCAGGAUCUUCAGGAGGACCAUCACCUACCGGAAGCAGCAGCAGCCGUGGAGGCCGGCGCCCGCGCCGUCCGCCGCCGACUCGAGCUCCAACACGGGGAGCUUUCAGUCGUCCGAGGCCAGCGACGAAUACAUGAACUGCCUGCAGGCUCCGGCACCCGCCGCUCCGUACAUCCCCCAGCAGCAGCAGCAGCACCAGUACGUCAGUCAGACGAGCACGGUGGACAGCGGCAAUUUCCUCUACGAGGAAAACAUGCACAACCAGCAGUUCCAGGGGGAAUGGAACGCCGCACCCGCCGCGCCGGUGCCGGAGCAGAAACAGCAGAAUCCAUUGUCGACGGCCGUCGCCCUCCACCAGAAUGACCAUAGCCACGCCGUCGCCGCGAACGAUUUCUACAAGGUCGAGGGGUACUUGGAGGAGAUCGCUAGGAUGUUGGAGGUCACCGAUUCGGCAGGGCUUUACGACUACAGAUCAUAA
This 1059-nucleotide ribosomal RNA is filed under the name Triticum aestivum (bread wheat). RNAcentral describes it as "partial small subunit ribosomal RNA". Lineage: Eukaryota; Viridiplantae; Streptophyta; Magnoliopsida; Poales; Poaceae. The record is from RNAcentral.